GCGGAUAUGGCGAAACUGGCAGACGCGCCAGAUUUAGGUUCUGGUGGGACCCCCCGUGCAGGUUCGAGUCCUGUUAUCCGCA
This 82-nucleotide transfer RNA is filed under the name Lachnospiraceae bacterium. RNAcentral's name for it is "tRNA-Leu". It matches the Rfam family "tRNA". Rfam says of the family: Transfer RNA (tRNA) molecules are approximately 80 nucleotides in length. Their secondary structure includes four short double-helical elements and three loops (D, anti-codon, and T loops). RNAcentral also lists the same sequence under 1 other name. Lineage: Bacteria; Bacillati; Bacillota; Clostridia; Lachnospirales; Lachnospiraceae. The record is from RNAcentral.